AUCUACAAAACAAUCGCUUCAUUUUAAUGUGGUACAGACUAAAACGAUCCACCUCUAGAAUCCUCCUUGCCUGCAGCCACAUCCCCAGAGGCCUGUGCAACAGAUGCAGCUCUAGUUUACUAGUGACCCUACCAUUCUCAACUCAAAACCUCAAUCUAUUCUCUCGCUCAAGAGUCAGGAGUCCUACCCAGGAGGCUACUAGAGAGGAGCCGGGGGGCGGGGGACAGAAAGAACCAGUAACGAACCGGAUCGACCUCGUCCCACCACCGGAACUCGGCCUGGACCUUGCUCCGCACCACGUUGUACAGCAGUGUCGGGUAGAAGAGAACCCUCGCGGCGGCGCCCACCGCCGCCUCCUUCGCCUUCCUCCGCGCCGCCGCCCCGCGCCGACUGCCCGCCUCCGCGGCCAUGGUGAUGGCUUCCGAGGGAGCAAGUUUUGGAUGAAAUUGCAAUAGCAGGAUGAGAGAUAGCGGCGGGUUUGGAGAUAGAUCAAGAGUAAAUUUGGCGCGAUUCAGCGUUUGAUUCGGAGGUUGUGUGAGAGAUGAGGGGAUUUGCCAGAUUGGAGAUCG
RNAcentral lists this unclassified non-coding RNA (569 nucleotides) under Zea mays. Its description in RNAcentral is "misc RNA Zm00001eb376770". The record is from RNAcentral. Lineage: Eukaryota; Viridiplantae; Streptophyta; Magnoliopsida; Poales; Poaceae.